AUUGAACGCUGGCGGCAUGCUUUACACAUGCAAGUCGAACGGUAACAGGCCGCAAGGUGCUGACGAGUGGCGAACGGGUGAGUAAUGCAUCGGAACGUGCCCAGUCGUGGGGGGAUAACGCAGCGAAAGCUGCGCUAAUACCGCAUACGAUCUAUGGAUGAAAGCGGGGGACCGUAAGGCCUCGCGCGAUUGGAGCGGCCGAUGUCAGAUUAGGUAGUUGGUGGGGUAAAGGCUCACCAAGCCAACGAUCUGUAGCUGGUCUGAGAGGACGACCAGCCACACUGGGACUGAGACACGGCCCAGACUCCUACGGAGGCAGCAGAGGGAAUUUUGGACAAUGGGCGCAAGCCUGAUCCAGCAAUGCCGCGUGCAGGAAGAA
Molecule: ribosomal RNA, 379 nt
Filed under: uncultured bacterium
Lineage: Bacteria
Description: bacterial SSU rRNA
Rfam family: Bacterial small subunit ribosomal RNA
Source: RNAcentral